RNAcentral lists this small nuclear RNA (97 nucleotides) under Cucumis sativus (cucumber). The record is from RNAcentral. Lineage: Eukaryota; Viridiplantae; Streptophyta; Magnoliopsida; Cucurbitales; Cucurbitaceae.
AUCCCUUCGAGGACAUCUGAUAAAAUUGGAACAAUAGAGAGAAGAUUAGCAUGGCUCCUGCUCAAGGAUGGCAUGCACAGAAAUGCCAAGAAACUAC